This 433-nucleotide ribosomal RNA is filed under the name uncultured bacterium. Its description in RNAcentral is "partial 16S ribosomal RNA". It matches the Rfam family "Bacterial small subunit ribosomal RNA", at positions 28 to 507 of the family's 1533-position model. The record is from RNAcentral.
GACGAACGCUGGCGGCAUGCCUAACACAUGCAAGUCGAACGAAACCUCCGGGCCUUGGUGCGCAGGUGUGCUUGACGCGUGGGAAGCUGCCCGUAGGUACGGAAUACCUCCCUGUAGGGUAUGCUCAUACCGGAUAGUCUCUUCGCACAAAAGAGUUAUCGCGUUUGGGUGGGGGCUCGUUGGAUUGGGUGGUUGGUAGGGUAAAAGCAUACCAUGGCGACGUUGCAUGGCUGGUGUGAGAGGAGGACCAUCCACACUGGGACUGAGACACGGCCCAGAGUCCUACGGGAAGGAGCAGUGGGGAAUAUUGGAGGAGGGGCGAAAGCCUGAUACAGCCAUGCCGGGUGAGUGAGGAAGGCCGUAGGGUUGUAAAGUCCUCUUAGCCGGGAUGAUAAUGACAGUACCGGGAGAAUAAGCACCGGCUAACUACGUG